This 497-nucleotide ribosomal RNA is filed under the name uncultured bacterium. RNAcentral's name for it is "partial 16S ribosomal RNA". It matches the Rfam family "Bacterial small subunit ribosomal RNA", at positions 28 to 507 of the family's 1533-position model. The record is from RNAcentral.
GACGAACGCUGGCGGCGUGCCUAAUACAUGCAAGUAGAACGCUGAAGAGAGGAGCUUACUCUUCUUGGAUGAGUUGCGAACGGGUGAGUAACGCGUAGGUAACCUGCCUUGUAGCGGGGGAUAACUAUUGGAAACGAUAGCUAAUACCGCAUAACAAUGGAUGACACAUGUCAUUUAUUUGAAAGGGGCAAUUGCUCCACUACAAGAUGGACCUGCGUUGUAUUAGCUAGUAGGUGAGGUAAUGGCUCACCUAGGCGACGAUACAUAGCCGACCUGAGAGGGUGAUUGGCCACACUGGGACUGAGACACGGCCCAGACUCCUACGGGAGGCAGCAGUAGGGAAUCUGCGGCAAUGGGGGGAACCCUGACCGAGCAACGCCGCGUGAGUGAAGAAGGUUUUCGGAUCGUAAAGCUCUGUUGUAAGUCAAGAACGGGUGUGAGAGUGGAAAGUUCACACUGUGACGGUAGCUUACCAGAAAGGGACGGCUAACUACGUG